UCUGGUGCCAGCAGCCGCGGUAAUUCCAGCUCCAAUAGCGUAUAUUAAAGUUGUUGCAGUUAAAAAGCUCGUAGUUAAUUUUCUGUUAAUUAUUAUAUACAAUGCUACGGUAUUUAUAUAAUAUUAACAUAAUUCAUAUUACUUAUUAGUAUAUGAAACUUUACUUUGAGAAAAUUAGAGUGCUUAAAGCAGGCUAUUGCCUUGAAUACUCCAGCAUGGAAUAAUAUUAAGGAUUUUUAUUCUUCUUAUUGGUUCUAGAAUAAAUAUAAUGAUUAAUAGGGACAGUUGGGGGCAUUUGUAUUUAACAGUCAGAGGUGAAAUUCUUAGAUUUGUUAAAGACAAACUACUGCGAAAGCAUUUGCCAAGGAUGUUUUCAUUAAUCAAGAACGAAAGUUAGGGGAUCGAAGACGAUCAGAUACCGUCGUAGUCUUAACCAUAAACUAUGCCAACUAGAGAUUGGA
Molecule: ribosomal RNA, 461 nt
Filed under: Cryptosporidium ryanae
Lineage: Eukaryota; Apicomplexa; Conoidasida; Eucoccidiorida; Cryptosporidiidae
Description: SSU rRNA
Rfam family: Eukaryotic small subunit ribosomal RNA
Source: RNAcentral